RNAcentral lists this ribosomal RNA (994 nucleotides) under uncultured bacterium. Its description in RNAcentral is "bacterial SSU rRNA". It matches the Rfam family "Bacterial small subunit ribosomal RNA", at positions 356 to 1376 of the family's 1533-position model. The record is from RNAcentral.
GGGGAAUAUUGCACAAUGGGGGAAACCCUGAUGCAGCGACGCCGCGUGGAGGAAGAAGGUCUUCGGAUUGUAAACUCCUGUUGUUGAGGAAGAUAAUGACGGUACUCAACAAGGAAGUGACGGCUAACUACGUGCCAGCAGCCGCGGUAAAACGUAGGUCACAAGCGUUGUCCGGAAUUACUGGGUGUAAAGGGAGCGCAGGCGGGCGAUCAAGUUGGAAGUGAAAUCCAUGGGCUCAACCCAUGAACUGCUUUCAAAACUGAUUGUCUUGAGUAGUGCAGAGGUAGGCGGAAUUCCCGGUGUAGCGGUGGAAUGCGUAGAUAUCGGGAGGAACACCAGUGGCGAAGGCGGCCUACUGGGCACCAACUGACGCUGAGGCUCGAAAGUGUGGGUAGCAAACAGGAUUAGAUACCCUGGUAGUCCACACCGUAAACGAUGAUUACUAGGUGUUGGAGGAUUGACCCCUUCAGUGCCGCAGUUAACACAAUAAGUAAUCCACCUGGGGAGUACGACCGCAAGGUUGAAACUCAAAGGAAUUGACGGGGGCCCGCACAAGCAGUGGAGUAUGUGGUUUAAUUCGACGCAACGCGAAGAACCUUACCAAGUCUUGACAUCCUGCGACGAUGCUAGAAAUAGUAUUUUCCUUCGGGACGCAGAGACAGGUGGUGCAUGGUUGUCGUCAGCUCGUGUCGUGAGAUGUUGGGUUAAGUCCCGCAACGAGCGCAACCCUUAUGGUCAGUUACUACGCAAGAGGACUCUGGCCAGACUGCCGUUGACAAAACGGAGGAAGGUGGGGAUGACGUCAAAUCAUCAUGCCCUUUAUGACUUGGGCUACACACGUACUACAAUGGCGUUAAACAAAGAGAAGCAAGACCGCGAGGUGAAGCAAAUCUCUAAAAAACGUCCCAGUUCAGAUUGCAGGCUGCAACUCGCCUGCAUGAAGACGGAAUUGCUAGUAAUCGCAGAUCAGCAUGCUGCGGUGAAUACGUUCCCG